GACGAACGCUGGCGGCGUGCUUAACACAUGCCAGUCGAACGGAAGGGCCCUGCUUUUGUGGGGUGCUCGAGUGGCGAACGGGUGAGUAACACGUGAGUAACCUGCCCUUGACUUUGGGAUAACUUCAGGAAACUGGGGCUAAUACCGGAUAGGAGCUCCUGCUGCAUGGUGGGGGUUGGAAAGUUUCGGCGGUUGGGGAUGGACUCGCGGCUUGUCAGCUUGUUGGUGGGGUAGUGGCUUACCAAGGCUUUGACGGGUAGCCGGCCUGAGAGGGUGACCGGCCACAUUGGGACUGAGAUACGGCCCAGACUCCUACGGGAGGCAGCAGUGGGGAAUAUUGCACAAUGGGCGGAAGCCUGAUGCAGCAACGCCGCGUGCGGGAUGACGGCCUUCGGGUUGUAAACCGCUUUCGCCUGUGACGAAGCGUGAGUGACGGUAAUGGGUAAAGAAGCACCGGCUAACUACGUG
Molecule: ribosomal RNA, 468 nt
Filed under: uncultured bacterium
Lineage: Bacteria
Description: partial 16S ribosomal RNA
Rfam family: Bacterial small subunit ribosomal RNA
Source: RNAcentral